This 492-nucleotide ribosomal RNA is filed under the name uncultured bacterium. RNAcentral's name for it is "partial 16S ribosomal RNA". It matches the Rfam family "Bacterial small subunit ribosomal RNA", at positions 29 to 507 of the family's 1533-position model. The record is from RNAcentral.
AGUGAACGCUGGCGGUAGGCCUAACACAUGCAAGUCGAACGGCAGCACAGUAGGAGCUUGCUCUUACGGGUGGCGAGUGGCGGACGGGUGAGGAAUACAUCGGAAUCUACUUUUUCGUGGGGGACAACGUAGGGAAACUUACGCUAAUACCGCAUACGACCUACGGGUGAAAGCAGGGGAUCUUCGGACCUUGCGCGAUUGAAUGAGCCGAUGUCGGAUUAGCUAGUUGGCGGGGUAAAGGCCCAUCAAGGCGACGAUCCGUAGCUGGUCUGAGAGGAUGAUCAGCCACACUGGAACUGAGACACGGUCCAGACUCCUACGGGAGGCAGCAGUGGGGAAUAUUGGACAAUGGGCGCAAGCCUGAUCCAGCCAUACCGCGUGGGUGAAGAAGGCCUUCGGGUUGUAAAGCCCUUUUGUUGGGAAAGAAAAGCAGCAGGUUAAUACCCCGCUGUUCUGACGGUACCCAAAGAAUAAGCACCGGCUAACUUCGUG